UGCAUAUCAAUAAGCGGAGGAAAAGAAACUAACAAGGAUUCCCCUAGUAACGGCGAGUGAAGAGGGAAGAGCCCAAGAUUGAAAGCUGGCGUCUUCGGCGUCCGCAUUGUAAUCUCAAGAAGUGUUUUCCGCUUCGGACCAAGCCUAAGUCCCUUGGAAAAGGGCAUCAUAGAGGGUGAUAAUCCCGUACAUGGCUUGGAGCGCCCGAAGCUUUGUGAUACGCUUUCUAAGAGUCGAGUUGUUUGGGAAUGCAGCUCAAAAUGGGUGGUAAAUGCCAUCUAAGGCUAAAUAUUGGGGAGAGACCGAUAGCGAACAAGUACAGUGAUGGAAAGAUGAAAAGAACUUUGAAAAGAGAGUUAAACAGUACGUGAAAUUGCCAAAAGGGAAGGGUAGGAGGUCAGAGAUGCGGCCUGGGAUUCAGCCUUGCUUUUGCUUGGUGUUUUUCCCAGAUUGCAGGCCAACGUCGGUUUUGGGCACUGGAGAAGGGUAGGAGGAACGUGGCACCUCUCGGGGUGUGUUAUAGCCUCCUACUGGAUACAGCGACCGAGACCGAGGACAGCAGCGUACUCGCAAGAGCGGGCCUUCGGGCACCUUUACGCUUAGGGCGUUGGCAUAAUGGCCCUCUACCACCCGUCUUGAAACACGGACCA
This 650-nucleotide ribosomal RNA is filed under the name Moesziomyces aphidis. RNAcentral's name for it is "eukaryotic LSU rRNA". It matches the Rfam family "Eukaryotic large subunit ribosomal RNA", at positions 37 to 668 of the family's 3401-position model. Lineage: Eukaryota; Fungi; Basidiomycota; Ustilaginomycetes; Ustilaginales; Ustilaginaceae. The record is from RNAcentral.